GUCGCUAUGGUAACUCGUCCGGGUUUCUGAGGUUUCUGUCAACAGUGAGAGGAAUAGUGAAGAAAUGCCUUUCUCCAUUUUGCUCUAAUUCUCCCUUGGUCCCGGCACUACGAUUGUUGCAUCCCUCCACAUCUCCUAAGCACACGGAAGACUAGAUGACGUCCUUUGGGGAGUGCGCAUUCUGAGAAAACUUACAUGAAGCAUCUAUAACCGCGCCCAGCUUAAGAUAAGGCACACCUCGUUUCACCUCUUUGUGCUUCUGCACAGAAAAUCAGACCUUCUGUUGCAAGAUGGCCCUAAGGAUUUGACAUUGAUCACCAUCAUAGAAUUGGAACUUACAAAUAUUUUUCUCUUGGUAACACUCUGCAGAUGGUUAAGAGCCAGCACGUGGUUGCUGGGGAUUGAACUCAGGACACUGUAGCUAACCAUUGUCGGUAACUCCAGUUCCCGGAACUCCAGCACUGUCUCUGCCCUCCAUGGGCAGCCCACAUGCGAGUGAUGCACACAUACAUACAAGUAAAGCACCCGCAUAGACAGCAAAACUUUGAAGAAAGAUAAUUUGUUUCCAGCAAAUCUGGACUAUAAGAAUGUCUGACAAACAACUUAAAUCAAGAAAGAGAGUUUGUUCACCUCCUGACAGACAAGAGAUGGGGAGGUGCAGAAGAAAGAGAGAAGAACAGAGAGGAAGAGAGGGGAGGGAAAAAGGAGAGGAAAGCAGUCUGGGGCAAGAAAGAUCCAAGGACCCACUGUAGUGACUUACUUCCUUCAGCUGCAAAGUGGCUAUAAGUUUCAAGUGGUCCCUGAAAGAACACCUCAGCUGGACUCAACCCCUCAAAUCACAAGCCUUUUGGAAGACCAGUUCACAUCCAAACUGAACAGUACAUUUCCUAGAACACCAAAGUCUCAUGUGCGUCUCACAAGGUAAUAUUUGGUAUACCAAGGGUUCCCAAAGCCUUAUCAGUUCAAACAUUGUUGACAAUUUAGGUUCAAUUAAGAUCUGAGACUCAAGGCAAAUUUUUACUCUUAGGCUCUAUAAAAUAAAACAA
This 1046-nucleotide small RNA is filed under the name Rattus norvegicus (Norway rat). Its description in RNAcentral is "uncharacterized LOC108350428". The record is from RNAcentral. Lineage: Eukaryota; Metazoa; Chordata; Mammalia; Rodentia; Muridae.